UCCGAGUUGACCCCGGCAGUCUCCUAUGAGUCCCCACCACAACGUGCUGGCAACAUAGAACGAGGGUUGCGCUCGUUGCGGGACUUAACCCAACAUCUCACGACACGAGCUGACGACAACCAUGCACCACCUGUGAACCGGCCCCAAAAGGGGAAACCACAUUUCUGCAGCGAUCCGGCCCAUGUCAAGCCUUGGUAAGGUUCUUCGCGUUGCAUCGAAUUAAUCCGCAUGCUCCGCCGCUUGUGCGGGCCCCCGUCAAUUCCUUUGAGUUUUAGCCUUGCGGCCGUACUCCCCAGGCGGGGUGCUUAAUGCGUUAGCUGCGGCACGGAAGGCGUCGAUAGCCUCCCACACCUAGCACCCAUCGUUUACGGCUGGGACUAC
RNAcentral lists this unclassified non-coding RNA (381 nucleotides) under uncultured Micrococcales bacterium. RNAcentral describes it as "contains 16S-23S intergenic spacer region". The record is from RNAcentral. Lineage: Bacteria; Bacillati; Actinomycetota; Actinomycetes; Micrococcales.